UUCCUUGGGAGGAGAUCUUAGGGAUGCUAGUGUCAGGCACAACGGUGAGAGCUUCAUGUCUAGUAAGUUUUACUCCAUAAUAGACUUAGAGGACCUUAGUAUACUUUGGGCCUAAUUUGCCAUUCCCCCUAAGUUUGACUUAAAGCUCCCUAAUCCAACUAGUAGGAUAUACAAUCCCCCUUAGUUGGCUCGCUCUAUAUGAGGAGUCAUUCUGAGCUG
RNAcentral lists this long non-coding RNA (219 nucleotides) under Elaeis guineensis (African oil palm). Its description in RNAcentral is "long non-coding RNA (EGUI_LNC031384)". Lineage: Eukaryota; Viridiplantae; Streptophyta; Magnoliopsida; Arecales; Arecaceae. The record is from RNAcentral.